GUUUUUGAUCUUUUCAUAUUUUGAAAAAAAUAAUCUUAAAAAUGUAUCCAAAAAUCUUUUGAAAAGCUUAUUAAAUCGAGGCCUUAAUCAGAGAACCUUUUAGAUGUGCUGCUAUCUAAAAACAAACCCUUAUAAUAUGUUUCUCAGUGCUGAUGGUUUAGAUAUCUAUAAGCUCAUAAUGAAAUUGUAUCUAUGUAGCUGCACCUUUGCAUGUUGGCUGGACAAGGCAGAGCCGGUGGUUACGUUUCCCGAAACGCCAGGUGUGCUUUACAAUAUAUGAAAUUAUGUUAUAUUUAAACACUGUAUUUAAUACGAUCUUCAUCUCUGCUUUCUCCUAGAAACGCUUUCUGAUCAGGAAGCUUCUAUAACACAGAACACGUACCAGGUGAAAUGCAAAGAAAGCUGGCUUAUUGUGGGCAGUUUGCUUUUUGAAAUAUGUUACAGAACAAUUGUCAGGAUCAAAGUGUGUUUCAUUAAGUUAUGCUAGAUGGGUUUUUUUUUGUUUUUUUUAAAAAAAUAAUCGUAUGUUUUAUUCCAUUAGAACACCCUCUCUGCACCUCCCUUGCAACCUUCAGUGUUUUAUUUUAUAGCUCCCCAAAUACAUCAUGUUGGGACUUUGGUUUCUAAGAGUAGAAAACUAACAACUGAACUGCGAUUAUGUUUAACUGAGUCACUUCCUUGCUGUAUGUAGAAG
This is a non-coding RNA of Pelobates cultripes (western spadefoot toad), 694 nucleotides long. The record is from the annotation of a GenBank genome assembly. NCBI's taxonomy places the organism in Eukaryota, Metazoa, Chordata, Amphibia, Anura, Pelobatidae.